This 384-nucleotide long non-coding RNA is filed under the name Hordeum vulgare. RNAcentral's name for it is "long non-coding RNA (HVUL_LNC006440)". The record is from RNAcentral. Lineage: Eukaryota; Viridiplantae; Streptophyta; Magnoliopsida; Poales; Poaceae.
UCCUCAUCUGGUCUGAGCAAGUAGGUAAAAGCAGGGAAGCAUACACCCUUUUUAUUUGCAGGAGGCUCCUCAUCUGGUCUCAGCAAGUAGGUAAAAGCAGGGAAGCAUACACCUUGGUUGUUAUUAAGAAGCAGCACGAUCAGAUCAGAAGCUUUGGGAAGGAGGGAGGGAGGUGUCCGUGGUAUCGAUGUAAACUAAGUCUUUUGUUCCCAACAGAUAGCCAUGGUGAUUGUGACAGAGGAUGCUCUAGAUUGCAACAAUUAUCAUAUCGGUUAAUCCUAGGCCUGGCUACGCGCCGGACAUGUAAAAAAACGAAUGUCAUAUCUGACCAUCAAUCUAAUUCUAGGGAUAAAACAGAACGCUUCCUAACGUGGCUGAAAGUCA